CCUACGGGUGGCAGCAGUGAGGAAUAUUGGUCAAUGGGCGCGAGCCUGAACCAGCCAAGUCGCGUGAGGGAAGACGGUCCUAUGGAUUGUAACCCUCUUUUGUCGGGGAGCAAAAGACGCCACGCGUGGCGUUCCGAGAGUACCCGAAGAAAAAGCAUCGGCUAACUCCGUGCCAGCAGCCGCGGUAAUACGGAGGAGGCGAGGGUUAUCCGGAUUUAUUGGGUUUAAAGGGUGCGCAGGCGGAAGCUCAAGUCAGCGGUAAAAUUGAGGGGCUCAACCUCUUCGAGCGGUUGGAACUGGAUGUCUUGAGUGAGCGAGAGGCAGGCGGAAGGCGUGGUGUAGCGGUGAAAUGCAUAGAUAUCACGCAGAACUCCGAUUGCGAAGGCAGCAUGCCGGCGCUCAACUGACGCUGAUGCACGAAAGUGUGGGUAUCGAACAGGAUUAGAUACCCGAGUAGUC
This 459-nucleotide ribosomal RNA is filed under the name uncultured bacterium. Its description in RNAcentral is "partial 16S ribosomal RNA". It matches the Rfam family "Bacterial small subunit ribosomal RNA", at positions 338 to 795 of the family's 1533-position model. The record is from RNAcentral.